Molecule: ribosomal RNA, 253 nt
Filed under: uncultured bacterium
Lineage: Bacteria
Description: partial 16S ribosomal RNA
Rfam family: Bacterial small subunit ribosomal RNA
Source: RNAcentral
UACGUAGGUGACCAGCGUUGUCCGGAUUUACUGGGCGUAAAGCGCGCGUAGGCGGUUACUUAAGUCGGAUGUGAAAGCCCUCGGCUUAACUGAGGAAGUGCACCCGAAACUGAGUAGCUGGAGUACGAAAGAGGGUCGCGGAAUUCCCGGUGUAGAGGUGAAAUUCGUAGAUAUCGGGAGGAACAUCAGUGGCGAAAGCGGCUUCCUGGACCAGUACCGACGUUCAGGCACGAAAGCGUGGGGAGCAAACAGG